This is a long non-coding RNA of Camelus dromedarius (Arabian camel), 7876 nucleotides long. RefSeq lists it as uncharacterized. The transcript has 5 exons. The record is from RefSeq and is a predicted model, not a curated record. NCBI's taxonomy places the organism in Eukaryota, Metazoa, Chordata, Mammalia, Artiodactyla, Camelidae.
UCAUUAAGUUAUCCAUAUCCUUUGUGAAGCAGAAGUCUUUAUAUGCAGUCAAGACACUGCCUAUCUGAACAGUUGGGUUGAUGGAGGAAUUGACUGGGUGGUCUUGCUCUCUUCAAACACGUUAACAUAUGAAGUGACAAUUCGCAAAGCACUCAUAUGGUAAAAUACCCUGAAUAUUAAAAGUGCUGACUAGCUUUACUCUGCUUGGAAUUGACGUGUCACAAUUUUAGGAUCUCAAACCCCUUAUUAAUACUACUUUUAGUUUAACCUAAAGAUGUAGAUGACGAUAUAGUAGUUGAUACUAAUCCCCAGAAAUACUCAUGGAUGUUACAUUUUCAGAUACCUCCUAGCACUCAAGCAUGAAUUCCUGCUUGGGAGACGUGUGCCUCUCUGUCCUGACACAGCUUGGCUUGUUCUCCAGAAGCUUUGUCCACACCCACAAGUAACUGUACAGUACAAACAAAGUGAAGAGUGCUCUGCACACAGGACGAGAGUGGUGUGUGUGUGUGUUGGGGAGGGUAGUUCGUGGGGUGGGGAUGGGCAGCCGCACAGAAGGGGCAGCAGUUGAGCUACAUCAUUAAGAGUAGAUGGGAUUUAAAAGAGAUUGGGACAGGGAACUCAAGAGAGCACUGAUCUAAGAGUGUAGUUAAGCUUCUGUCUACUUGAAAAAUAGACAACUAUUUUCUGGACAAUUAAGUCUUAUUCAGUACAGACCUAUGAGCUCAUUAAACAUUUUUGUGUGCAUGACUAGAUAAUCUCAGAUUAGUCAGAAAUUUUAGUCCAUAAUGAGAUACAGAGUAUCUAAACAUCGAGAGUUUGUUCUUAUUACCUUGCCUGUUUCUACUGUAACACUAAAAAUAUUUAGAAUGCAUGUGAUUUUUUUUGGAGUUGAAUAGAACUUGCUAGGUAGGCCAUUGCCACCUUUUCAAAGACAGCAUUUAUAUUUGUAGCAUGUUGUUCAGUAUAUACAAAAAGACCGAAUAAAACUCAAGUCUCCCCAGUAAUAGACUAUUGGACCAAUCUAUUUCUCACAGUGUAUAUCUUUCAGACUCAAUGAUUUAAGAUGAUAAAGUGAUCGUUCCUUAGUAUUUAUACUAUUUCUAGUUCAUACGACUUGGUUCACUCUGAAACACUGGAUUUGUGUGUCAGUUUUCUUACCCGCAUCACUCAGGUAUCACCUGCAUAGAAGCUGAGGGGAAGGUGAUAAAAUCGCAGAUAUUUCCAAGAUGAAGCUUUAGUUGGACAGCUUUUUACCUCUCCAUUGUUGUUUUAGAAGCUUAGUUGAUAGCAACACCUUGCAUUUUAAUGAAGAACCACCGGCAAGAAAGGCAAUCCAUUUAAAUAGCCCUUCAGGGGGAAAGGUUUGUCAGUUUGUUCUGAAGGGCCUUUUGAGCUAGAUUGUGUGUAGUCCCCAUGCCAUCUCUAACUCUGAUUUUUAUUGUGCACUCCUUCCGAGAAUCUUCCCUGUCCAGUUUGAGAAGCAGCCAGCCCCACUGUGGAACUCUGAGCAGAUGUGAAGAACUGGCCACCCCCUUCAGGGUGAGACACCCUGUGGAAUGAAGCACAGCUGACAAGACUUUUGUAAAGACUGAAGACAAAUUAAAGUCCAGAAACUGGGCCGAUAUCGCCAAGUCUCAGUUUGGAGAGAUGCCUAAGUGCCUCAUUGCCACUGUCUAAGGUGGGUAGUUAGGUUGCAGGCUUCAACUAAGCAUCAGGGGCCCGAAUAGGGAGGGAGAAGGGUGAAGCUGGUUUUUCUCCUUCUGGGCAGCAUACUGGUAAGUGAAUGGCUUCUAUCCUUUCUUUCUUUAGAAAAAGGAAAUGCUCCCUUCCUGAAUAGAGACUAGGAGGAAAGGAGGACGACGGACCCAAUUGCGGAAUCCCAGCUGAUACAGGAUAGAAGAUCUGGUGAUGCCAAUGUCAGUUGGAGCAGUGGUACAGGAGCAGAAGAUAACUGACGGUGAGGAAGAGUGACUCACCUCUUUGAAGCUCAUUUUAAGCGAAAAGCUUUCUGUGAUGACUUGAAUUUAGAACGGUGAGUUGGUGAGUUGGUGAGUUGCUUUGCAGGGGAGUUGUCACGCAUCUGUUGAGGAAGUUGGUGACCACGUCCCAGUGCUUUGUCACACUGAUUGGAUGUUGGAAUGUACUGUGACCUUGAAGGAGCGAUGCCACAUGCUGAAGACGCCAUGAUGUCACUAAUAAAAGGACGCAGCCACUGCCUUACACUCAGAGAAAAUCCUGCAUUUGAGUGAUGGGUAUGAAUGUGUUCUUUUAUAAUUGGAUGCAUGAAUGCUGUAUUUCCUCGUUUAAAUUAAAUCUGAGACUAAGCCCCUACCUGCCAAAGUAGAGAGAUGCCCAGCGCCAGUUACUGGGGUGAGGAUUUUCCUAAGGUUUCCCAUGAGUUCCAGAGCCCUGACACAGUUCUGAAAUGCUGUGAACGUGUCCUUGUUCUUACCUGUAUUGGUUGCCGCUGACUCAUUAUUUAAGGCAACAUGAUCCAUUUUAAAGGCAAAUUGGGCGCAGCAAUCAUUUGUCAGGGCUCUGAGCUGCAGGAUUUGGUUCACCCUUUCCAGGUAAAAAUGCACUUGGGCAUCCUCUUUGCCUUCUCAUUUGAAGGAAGGCUAACCCACCCCUCUUCCCUUGCCACCUGCUGCCCCUUUCAACCCCCAUGUAAAGUGUUAGAACUCUGAUCACAAAGACAUGGCUGCAUUCUUAUAAUAGGGAAAAUACUGUUCAUGAUUUUGCUUCUUAGAGUUGUAAGUAAAAUGCAAAUGGUCACUUCCAUAGACGUCAUGCCACCGUCCUGCAUGCCAGAAAUCACGCUCAAAACUUUGUAUCCAGUACCUCUAAACCUCGAUCAUUUUGCAUGGUCUUGACCUUGUUUCAUAAAUGAGAAAACCAAGCCCCCAGGAAUAUCAGUCACCUGUCCAAGGACAUACGGCUGUGUAAAGAGCUUGGAUUAGAGGAUUGAAUUUUUAAUAUCUGAGACUUCAGUACAUAUUUCUUGGUAGAUGACUUGAUGAUUGACUCAGAAUGAGAGAGAAAAGGCACUUGGCUGGCUAUUUGAAGAACUUCACACCUUGUCAUUCUAUUUAUAUUUUAGAGUAUUCAGCUUAAGUGUUUUUGCAUUUUGCCUUUGAAGAGGAGGACAAGGUGAACGUUAAAUACAGAUGAAAUUGUGACUGCGGCUAAGUGACUCCUCCGGCAUGAAGGGUGGUCUCCUGCAGGAAGCCUGCUUGUUUACGUGAAUGUCUCAAGACCUGCUUUUGAUUUCUGGGCCAGGCCAUGUUUGUACGGGCGCAGAAAGAACUCUCUGGCUUCCCCCAACCCCGCCGUUCCUCCAGUGUAACACACCCUGCAAAGCACUGCUUGGGAACACAGACGUGCAUGUUCACAGCCACUCUGUGCCGUCAAUAAGGGAGAUGGAAAAGAAAACAAAACUGAUUUCAACUAAGGAAUUGCCUGGAGGUGGCAGACACGGUGUCCCGUACGGUGAUGAGAAUGAUUCCGCCGAUGCCGUGUUCCCUGUUUGAGCUCUCUGCACAGCACAGCGCAUCACUGUUGCGUGUGGAACACGUUUAAUCAUCUGAUCCCUGUUUUGCAGGUGAGGAAACUGAAGCCUCGGGUGUCUAAGUCUGCCUAAGAACGUGAGUUUCAACUAGUGUGGCUGAGUUUUUUUCUGUGCUUUUUCUCUCUAGGGUGAAGGUGGAUGUGAACGCAGGAGUGUGAUAGUGUUUCUUGCUCCUUCCCGUGUCCCGGAAAUGCUGUCUGUGUCCUUGGAGAAAACUUUCUGGAGCAGCCUUAUGAUCAUGACUCAUUUAUUCUUCUGUCCUUUCUCACACGUGGCACUUGGCACGGUCUAAUGUACAUUUAUUUGUUCGGAAUGGUGUGUUUUUAGUGGUGGCAGAAACUCUGUUUAAUUUGCUGCUGAUUCCCAGCACCUGGAACAAUAAUACCUGGCUUGCAAGAGUCAUUAAAUAAAUAUUUACUGAACGAAUGUCUGACUCCACUCGACCCCAGUUCAGUCUGCUCAAGCCUGUGCUCUGCAUUGCUGCAGAUUCUAAGAUUGAAAGGCUUAACCCCGACCUAUCCAGGACAGACUUUGCAUCCCUCGCCCACUGACUGCCCACUUCACAGAACUGGUCUGGGGCGGCGAAGCUCUCAUCACCCGUAGUAUACCAUUUCUAGCUACGAACAACUUUCAACCACCAUGAACUUCAUCUGGGAUGUCCUUGUGUCUUGAAAUUAUUCUAAGUCCUUGACAUGCUGAAUAAAAGCCAGGUUAAGAAACCUUCAUUUUAUCUAUAAAACUAAUCAGGAGACUCAGAUCAUUCAGUCCUAACAUCUGUGAACGUCAGUCAUUUUGAGAAGCAGAGAAAACUCAACCAGCCAAUUUAUUUUGAUAAACAAGACUGAAUAGGUAUUCAAUGCAAACUGUUAGGGAGUGCCACAUGCCCCAUAAAUCCUUUAAAGAAAAAAAUCCCAAAAUACCAAAACUAGGUCUUUUUUAUUUCUCUUCCUUAGAAAUCUUGAACCUAGUAUUAAGUUUGCUUUGAGAAAAGAAAAGAAAACGUAAAAGGCAUUUCUGUCCUAGGCCAGCUCGUGUGCUUCUCCAGGGCCUUCUGGGUUAGAGCAGUCUUUCAGGUGCCUAAGUUCUAGCGGGGCUUCUGCUAGGUUGUACUUGUUGAGAUGAUCUCCCAAAUCCUGGCCUUAAAACUUUGAUCAGAUGAUACAAACCGUUGGUCUCUCAGCUGCAUCUGGCCCCAGGUCUGUUUUGUUUGGAUGUGUUUUACAUCUGUCACCAACAUUCCAAAAUUGGGGCAGUUCAUGUUAAAACUUCUAUUUCCACUUCUCUUGAAAUACCCGAAGAUUUGUCCGUCCUGGACCUACACGCUGUUAUGACACGACAUUGGGCUGAAGUUGAACAGUGGCCGUCCUGGAGAUAGAUCCUGAACUCUCCAGUUUGCCAUAGUCCUCUCCACCCUCUCGUAGUGUCCAUGCUUGCUUCCUUCCAUUGCUUGUCCAGUUCCUGCAGAAUUGAGGCAAUAACUGAUUCAAGGUGGGCUUAGAAAAACUAAACUCUUGGUCAUCGCUUCAUGCCUUUGCUCUCUCUUCCUGCAAGUGUUGUGAGUCGGUGCUUUCUGCAGAAAUGCUCAAGUUUCACGAGGAUGGCAAAACUGAUCAAAGCCCUUGGGAAAUGCUCAAAGAACUGUUUUUUCAUUUUCGUUUUUGUUUUUUCUUUUUUUUUUUUAAGUGGAAGUCCUGGGGAAUAAACCAAGUACCUCAUGCAUGCUCAGCAUGUGCUCUACCAAGUGAGCUACACCUCCACCCCCAAAGAACUGUUCUGAAGACUGGCUUGUUUUUCUGUUUCUACUGAGAUGGGAAUAUCCAACUCAGUGCCUGUGAGAUCAAAGAAGAUAGACUGUAGCCGUCUCCUCCUUCCUGAGCUUUCCCCCGUCAGGAGGAGGCUCAGUGGACACUCUCGGUAGACCUCCGACAGGCUGUGCUAAUCACUAGAGCUGGCACCAGCCAUCGUUUGUGUGCAGCGGCCUAAGCACAUUGACAAUCCGUCUUCCGCCCUCCCACUCCUUUAGAUUUUCAACACUCUUCUCCUUUUGCAGCCCAUUUUAGUUGACUUUUAUGAGACACAGUGAAUAGAAACCUUAAUGUCAGCGCCAUUAAAUCAGUACCUACAGAAAUAAUCUGGAAAUGCUAAACCCUGGCAGGAAGCAUGUUCCAAUUAGUACUGAUAAAAGUACAGUGAGCUGAAAACAAAAGUGACUUCAGCAAGGAGGAAGGAGAAAGGGUACAACUCCUCCAGCUCACUUGGAAUAGGCAGAGAAUCUCAAGAACUAAUCUUCCUCGUUAAGUGUUUCAACUAUUUUGAAAAGACAGUCUCCCUUGUUUUCUUAAUUUACUUCACCCAUUGAAAAGGACACGAAUGGUCCUUUGCAAGGAUAGGGCUUUAGGAUUUUGAGACUCUGAAGAUUUGUGUGGUUGUGUGCAUGCACGCUGUAUGAGAGAGAUCGGAUUCGAAUUUUAGUUGCUGUGUUCUAGCUGCAUGUCUUUGAGACACCACAGAGUUUGCACUGUUUCCAUUGGGCCAUCACUGGGACUUGUGUUGGGAAAAAUCAUGCCAACUUUCCAUGAUCUUCAGAGAGAUCAUUUGAUUGGCUAUGUGCAGAUCAGAUCUGAAUCUUACAUGGUUAUAAUAAACUUGGAAAACUCUUACCUACUUGGGAGUAUGUUUUAUCUGUGAAGAAACUGUUAAGUUGAAAAUACUAUUACCUUUUUUACCUAGGUAGCUCCUUCUUACCCUUUAUAACUAUUUAUUCAAGAAUCCUUUAAAGCUCCCACCCCCUCUCUGUCUGAGCUAGUGUGCCUUCUGUUGGCUCCCAGAACAGCUUCUGUAAUCCUCUAAUACACUAUUGUAUGAUCAACGUCUUGUCUCCGCCAGAUUCCAGGCAGUGUCUCCUUGAAACAGUGUCUGUUUCUUUCAUCUUUUUACCAUCAGUACUUGUCACAUGACAGGCACUUAGUGUGUGAUGACUGAAUAAAUGAAUGAGUGGAUAAUUGGAUGAAUGGUUAGAUGAAUAAAUUUUUUUCUUUUUUAGCGAUUACCGAGUUAGCAUCAUUUCUGGAUUUUUUUAUAUGAUUGGACUAAAAUGUAUCUUCCAGCAUAUCUUCACUUGUCAUUUUGCUUUCAUUUUGUGGGUUUGUGUAUUCUGAUUUUAGGUUCUAAUAUAUGAUAUGUUUUACUUCAACAUAAAUAUGAAGCCUUUUUCUUUUUCAAAUUGUUAAUUGAUUCUUUGAAAAGUAUGCAGUGUUGAAAGAGGGACCUGGCCUUAAAGGAAGUGAGGGUAAAAAGGAAGCAUUUACUGAGAUAUUGACAGGUUUGGCUAAAACAGUGUAGAGGAAGCUGAUAGAAGUUGUUUUUCUCUGGGCCACUUUUCCUGCAGGGAGAAGAUUUGCCAGCUUCUUCAUUGAUCAGAAAUGUCUGUGCAGGAGGGAACAAAAGCACCUCAGACUCUGAAUCCUUGAGUUUAGCCCACCUCAUGGACAUCUCUUCUACUGCAUUAAAAAAAAAAAUCAAAUUCUAAUCCUCUCUCCAGAGCCAGAGGCUUAUGGUAGCUGUCCAAAUCCUGAUGUUUUACUCCCUCCAUUCUCCCUGUCUCUGUCUUACUUUUACUCCAUCUCUGCCAUAGAGGUUAAAGCACUGACUUGCCCAAGGUUGCAGAGUUCAAGCCUCCUGCCUUUCAGUUUGCUACAGCCUCAUCAUUUUGUAGGCAUGUUGGUGACUCCCAUCUGUACCAACAAAAGUAAAGGUGUUUUUUUAAGACGUGAUUUAAAAUGAGAGCUUUCGAGUGAAAAAGUCUCCAAAAGCAAAGACCUUUUUUCCAGAAGGAAAACAUUUACUGAACUGAAACUUUAAAGAAAGCAUGUUGCUUUUGUUGACGGUCUCAUGCAUCAGAGCUUUGUUUUCUGCAUUACUCUAAAAAGCAGGCAGCUUGAACCUAAGUCUUAAGUAUGUUCAACGCAGGAGUCCUGGUUCUGGGGGCUAUACAGAUAUAAAACAGUUUCAAAAACACACCACACCUCUAAAAAUACUCCAGAAGGUAAAACCAGGUUAGAAGUUUCCCUUGAGCUUUUAGCACAUAGGGGACACAAUGAAAGUCAAAGGUAGCUGUAAAUCUUUCUUUAAACUUGAGCUGUCAACGUGGAAUUUUAACUGAACAGAACUGACAUUACUAGAUAAAAAUGUAGGUGCUAAAAACACGUCAUAUGAUGUAGAAGUAUCUCUAUGUAGUAAAUAUUUUGGAAAACUGCAUGAUCUCUGUCAUAUAUCUCAAAUUAUGGGUUUGGAAGGACUAUAAAGGCU